RNAcentral lists this ribosomal RNA (187 nucleotides) under uncultured bacterium. RNAcentral's name for it is "partial 16S ribosomal RNA". It matches the Rfam family "Bacterial small subunit ribosomal RNA", at positions 1312 to 1500 of the family's 1533-position model. The record is from RNAcentral.
UCGACUACAUGAAGCUGGAAUCGCUAGUAAUCGCAAAUCAGAAUGUUGCGGUGAAUACGUUCCCGGGUCUUGUACACACCGCCCGUCACACCAUGGGAGUCGGAAAUGCCCGAAGUCUGUGACCCAACGAAAGAGGGAGCAGCCGAAGGCAGGUCUGAUAACUGGGGUGAAGUCGUAACAAGGUAAC